This 339-nucleotide long non-coding RNA is filed under the name Homo sapiens (human). RNAcentral's name for it is "HSALNT0341046". Lineage: Eukaryota; Metazoa; Chordata; Mammalia; Primates; Hominidae. The record is from RNAcentral.
ACUCGGCUGCCAGCUCCACUGGCGUUCUGGCAAGGGCAGCGCGGAGGGGCGCUCCUGGUCCAGCUCUCCCUGCUCGGGAGUGUAUGAAUGCUUUGUGUUCUGACAAAGAGACUGUAGCUCCCAUGUCCUACCUGCUUGGUUGCAUUGCCAGUGCCCACGUCAUUGCUUGUUUAAAAUCUACAACUGCUGACGUUUUGUAACCUUCGCAUUCCAGAUACAACAGAGAAAUGCAUAAUGUCCAGUGAAUUUAUUAAAGUUCCAAAGUCGGUCGCGCGCAGUGGCUCACGCCUGUAAUCUCAACACUUCGGGAGGCCGAGGCGUGUGGAUCACGAGGUCAGG